AGUGAACGCUGGCGGUAGGCCUAACACAUGCAAGUCGAACGGCAGCACAGAGGAGCUUGCUCCUUGGGUGGCGAGUGGCGGACGGGUGAGGAAUACAUCGGAAUCUACUCUGUCGUGGGGGAUAACGUAGGGAAACUUACGCUAAUACCGCAUACGACCUACGGGUGAAAGCAGGGGACCUUCGGGCCUUGCGCGAUUGAAUGAGCCGAUGUCGGAUUAGCUAGUUGGCGGGGAAAAGGCCCACCAAGGCGACGAUCCGUAGCUGGUCUGAGAGGAUGAUCAGCCACACUGGAACUGAGACACGGUCCAGACUCCUCCGAGAGGCAGCAGUGGGGAAUAUUGGACAAUGGGCGCAAGCCUGAUCCAGCCAUACCGCGUGGGUGAAGAAGGCCUUCGGGUUGUAAAGCCCUUUUGUUGGGAAAGAAAUCCAGCUGGCUAAUACCCGGUUGGGAUGACGGUACCCAAAGAAUAAGCACCGGCUAACUUCGUGCCAGCAGCCGCCGUAA
RNAcentral lists this ribosomal RNA (506 nucleotides) under uncultured bacterium. RNAcentral describes it as "partial 16S ribosomal RNA". It matches the Rfam family "Bacterial small subunit ribosomal RNA", at positions 29 to 523 of the family's 1533-position model. The record is from RNAcentral.